Branchiostoma belcheri (Belcher's lancelet) is the source of this 307-nucleotide long non-coding RNA. RefSeq lists it as uncharacterized. NCBI's taxonomy places the organism in Eukaryota, Metazoa, Chordata, Leptocardii, Amphioxiformes, Branchiostomatidae. The record is from RefSeq and is a predicted model, not a curated record. The transcript is spliced from 3 exons.
GCAGCUGGUACAACUUUUCCCGCCAAAUUCUGUGCAGGUGUCGAAGGUCGGAUGACGUCACUGGAGCACGGCAUGUUGGGCACGAGUCUGGAGUUAAAAUGUACAGACAAGUGAGACCUGUUGGACAUCAAUACGGCACCACACUUCAGUCGGCACGCAUACGCUGUAGCUACGCAACACAUAGCUGGUAAACAACAAUUAGGAAUCGUAUUUUCCAAAGACUGCGGUCGUCGGUUUUCUCAACCUGUGCCUCCACGUCCAGGGACCAAUGGUUCGGGGCGCUGUCGUGCCGACGGCGAUCGCGAGG